This 181-nucleotide unclassified non-coding RNA is filed under the name Glomeraceae sp. RNAcentral describes it as "partial contains 5.8S ribosomal RNA and internal transcribed spacer 2". The stretch from base 1 to 71 matches the Rfam family "5.8S ribosomal RNA", at positions 84 to 154 of the family's 154-position model. Lineage: Eukaryota; Fungi; Glomeromycota; Glomeromycetes; Glomerales; Glomeraceae. The record is from RNAcentral.
GUGAAUCAUCAAAUUUUUGAACGCAAAUUGCACUCCCUGGUAUUCCGGGGAGUAUGCGCGUUUGAGGCUCUUUAGAACAACAAUCGAAGCGUCGCUCUUUUUUUUAAGGGUGAUCGCGUCGGAAUUGAGACGUCUUUCAAAUGAUAAUUCAAGUCAAAUUUGCUUAAAAUUUAUACAUCCG